UAUAUAAUGGUGUAUUAAGCACAUGAAAUUUUGAUUUUCAAGGAGUAAGUGUAAUUCUUUCUUAUGUAA
This 69-nucleotide transfer RNA is filed under the name Austinogebia wuhsienweni. Its description in RNAcentral is "tRNA-Gln". Lineage: Eukaryota; Metazoa; Arthropoda; Malacostraca; Decapoda; Upogebiidae. The record is from RNAcentral.